This is a long non-coding RNA of Ornithorhynchus anatinus (platypus), 398 nucleotides long. RefSeq lists it as uncharacterized. The record is from RefSeq and is a predicted model, not a curated record. The transcript has 3 exons. Lineage: Eukaryota; Metazoa; Chordata; Mammalia; Monotremata; Ornithorhynchidae.
UCCCAUCUUACUACAGAAUGUGUUUUCCAGGUUCUCCUCAUAGCAACAAGAAAAGCAGUGUCAGAUGUUAAAGCCCAUCUUGAUUACUGCAUCAGCCUCCUGUUUACCUCCUGCUCCAAGGUGAACCAAGACACCACCAUCUCAAGGUCAAACGCUAUCUCGUGAUGACCCGAGCUAGCCAAGCAGACCUUGGAAGCACAAGCGAGACACCACCCCCACAACCGAAACCACUAGACACCCCAAGCCAGGAAUGCCACCGUGCCACCGUGCCAACCAAAUAAGGACUACCCCCAGACUGCUAGGACUGAAGAAUCACCUUGGCUAUCCUGCAGAUGGGUGGCUAUUCCACAGGCUUCUCUCUCUAUUCCCCAGCUCACUAUUUUUGAAAUUCUAUGCAU